Molecule: ribosomal RNA, 253 nt
Filed under: uncultured bacterium
Lineage: Bacteria
Description: partial 16S ribosomal RNA
Rfam family: Bacterial small subunit ribosomal RNA
Source: RNAcentral
UACGUAGGGUGCAAGCGUUGUCCGGAAUUAUUGGGCGUAAAGAGCUCGUAGGCGGUCUGUCACGUCGGCUGUGAAAACCCGAGGCUCAACCUCGGGCCUGCAGUCGAUACGGGCAAACUAGAGUACUGCAGGGGAGACUGGAAUUCCUGGUGUAGCGGUGAAAUGCGCAGAUAUCUGGAGGAAUACCGGUGGCGAAGGCGGCAUCCUGGACCGAGAUUGACGCUGAUGAGCGAAAGCUAGGGGAGCAAACGGG